Molecule: long non-coding RNA, 2678 nt
Organism: Cygnus olor (mute swan)
Lineage: Eukaryota; Metazoa; Chordata; Aves; Anseriformes; Anatidae
Exons: 2
Source: RefSeq, a predicted model, not a curated record
GAGUGCAGCUACUGGUUUCGGCGCUGGGAGCGGGGUCGGUUUCCGCCGGGGGAGCCGAUGCUGCUGCUGCCCGCACCGGGUGCCCCUCGCCGUGCUGGUGCGGGUGCCGCCUGGUGUUGGACGCGAUGCCGCCGACAUUUCCCUGCUGACCCAGCGCACGGGGCCGACACCUCGCACGGGUGUCGCGGAGAGCCCCGGCCCCCCCGCCCCCUUCCAGGGCUUUUUUGAUGGCACGAGGCCUAGGAAAAUAAGUGGAAACAUUUUUCCAUUCCUGCUGGUAUUUCUUUCUUGCAGCUGCUUGGCACAGUUGGAGCUGGAGCGGGGUGUUUUCAGUGCACUAUCAGCUUCUCAAAGAGCCGUUCCCAUUUCCAUGCGGAGCUGUUCCUGUGGCCCUGUGAUAUAGAUCACGCUUUUAAAUUGUUACUGCUGGUUUUCAAAUGCCAGAGGGUCAUUAGUAACAAAACGCCUACCAUUCCCCCCAGAAACGAUCUUUGUCUGGCAAAGAGUGGAGAAUGCAAGGUGAACCGAAAUGCUACAGGGAAUGUCUGGCUGGAGGGUGCAUCCUUGGCUGGUUGGUUCUUGUUCAGGUGCUGUACUUCAUCCGGAAGAGAAAAGGAAAAAUGCGAAUGAUUCUGCUACCUGACAGGCUAUGCAAGAACUGAGAAGCUAAAUAUUCAGUGGUUUUAAUUCAGGGGAAAGGAAAGGGAUUUGGAGAGCCAAGGAAGCAGGUGCACGUGCGUGUGCAGGGCAGGGAAGCACCACGCAGUGGGGGCUCGAGAGCUGCAGCAAAAGGCUGCAGAGACCCAGGGCUGGAGGAGCUCUGCCAGCGCCAGCGAAGUGCAGCACAGCCCCGUGGAGCACGUGCUGAGCUGGAUGGGGGGGAACAGUGUAAGUAUAUGUGCUGUUCUUAAAGAAAAACAUCCUCUGUGUUCUUGAAAAGUGGAAAUGAAGGAGGAAUAGAUAAAAAACAGAGUGAAUCGUAUUAAAGCGAUGUCCCCCUUUGUAUCUACCCUGCAUCUGACUUCUCCACUGCAGUUUGGGGUCUGAUGUUUUCUCGCUAAACUCCAAAGUCCCUUUUGCUGAGUAUUGUGCCCGUUAACAGGGAUUAACUAGAAGACUUGACACAAAUGUCUGAUCUCCCUGUCCCCAAAUCAUCAAAUACAGAAGUGCCAUGGGCACCGCAGACGCACCCCGCUCACUCCCCACGUGCCGCACAGCGUCCCACACCGGCCCCGCUGGUCGCACGGCUGCCCGCAGAGGACUCGGCUUUGUUGGAGGCAGGGGACAACAAAUUCCUGCGGACUCCUUUUGCCGGUGCCGUCAGCUGUGGGGCAAACACCGUCCAGCAGUGGGGUCCUCGCCUCUGCUCCCAGCAGCCCCCCGCUCGGGGCUGGCCGCCUGCGGGGCUCCGUGGCACGGCAGGGCCGGGGGCUGCUGGUGCGGGGGCUGCUGAGGCUUGUUCUGCACUUAGCGCGAGCAUGGAAUUAUAACACUUAUGGUUAUCCCAGGGUUUUUAACUCCCUUGUUUCUUCCAGACUAUGUAAUUUUGGGGGUAGCCUUUUUGUUGUAGCGUAAUCGUUAUUAUAAUAAUUUUAUUUCCAGUGCUCGUGGCAUGGAAACCAAGAAAUCCGGAGGGAGCAGGGAAACCGUUUUCUGAACUGACAGAACGAAUCAUGUGAAUCGAGCAGGAAUUUAAGUAGAGGUGAGCUGUUGAGAGCAGCCAGCACGGAGAGCUCCCAGUUCCCGUGACUCCUCCAGGCUGAAAAAGCAGCCGCCGCCUGCUCUGCUGUGCCUGGCCACCUCCAGAAACCGCGGAGCGGGCCAGUGGCCAGCGGCGCUUCCCCAGGAAAAAGUCAACGAGGGACUUUUGAGAGUAAGCACACAGGAGCUAAUCUCCCCUGAGCUUUCGGGAGUGCUCGAUGCUGUCACAUCAGAGCACUUGAACACCACCCUCCCAAAGCCUGGGUGUUGUGUGCUAGUAUCAAACCCCAUUUUAGAGCACCUUGCACUUUUUAGUCUUAUUUUUGUCUCUCCACACAAUGCUGGUACUGAAAGUCCCUAAAUACACAGAUGUGCUUCAUCACUGCUUUAAGUGCAGCCUGGAUGAGAUGCUCAAGGCUGGCCCUGGUCGGAGUGAGCCUGGGUGGCUCCCCUUGAAACCAGCUGAACUCCGAAACCAUCUGAGUGUCUGUGCUGGGCGAGGCGCUCACACGGACACCAGCGAAGCUUGCCCUUCCUGCCAGUGGGAACCUGGUUCUCAUUUGUGGAUUCCAGCUUUUUUCAGGCAGAAACUGUAAACCCUGAGCGAGUUUCAGCCAGGAAGCAUGGGCUGAGCAUCCUUCCCUUGGCCUGAAGGAAGCUUUUGCACAUGCUCUGCCGAACCAAAGGGGAUGGUCUCUGCUCAGGGCAGUAAGCAGGUGCCCUGCCGCUGUCCUGCAAGUCCCACCUGCAACCUGGAGGGGAAAUCCUGGCCCUCCCGUGGCAGCAUGGGCAGUGCUGGUGUGUGCAGAGGCGGAAUGCGGCACUUGGCUUCCCAACGCCCCGGCACUGAGAGGUUAAAGUGGCUGGGACUUAAAAAAAAUACGUGCAGGAAAGAAAAUCCUCAUUUGCUGAAGAGAGAAAGGAAGGAGGGGGGGGGGGAAGUUGUUUGUUAAUAAUAAAGAAUGAGCUUCUACAAA